CCUUUGACAUGUACGGAAUCCUUUAGAGAUAGAGGAGUGCUCGAAAGAGAGCCGUAACACAGGUGCUGCAUGGCUGUCGUCAGCUCGUGUCGUGAGAUGUUGGGUUAAGUCCCGCAACGAGCGCAACCCUUGUCAUUAGUUGCUACAUUCAGUUGGGCACUCUAAUGAGACUGCCGGUGACAAACCGGAGGAAGGUGGGGAUGACGUCAAGUCCUCAUGGCCCUUAUAGGUGGGGCUACACACGUCAUACAAUGGAUGGUACAAAGGGUCGCCAACCCGCGAGGGGGAGCCAAUCCCAUAAAGCCAUUCGUAGUCCGGAUCGCAGUCUGCAACUCGACUGCGUGAAGUCGGAAUCGCUAGUAAUCGUGGAUCAGAAUGUCACGGUGAAUACGUUCCCGGGUCUU
RNAcentral lists this ribosomal RNA (404 nucleotides) under uncultured Acidovorax sp. RNAcentral describes it as "bacterial SSU rRNA". It matches the Rfam family "Bacterial small subunit ribosomal RNA", at positions 978 to 1382 of the family's 1533-position model. The record is from RNAcentral. Lineage: Bacteria; Pseudomonadati; Pseudomonadota; Betaproteobacteria; Burkholderiales; Comamonadaceae.